Molecule: ribosomal RNA, 254 nt
Filed under: uncultured bacterium
Lineage: Bacteria
Description: partial 16S ribosomal RNA
Rfam family: Bacterial small subunit ribosomal RNA
Source: RNAcentral
UACGGGGGGAGCAAGCGUUGUUCGGAUUUACUGGGCGUAAAGGGCGCGUAGGCGGCCAGCACAAGUCAGUUGUGAAAUCUCCGAGCUUAACUCGGAAAGGUCAACUGAUACUGUGCGGCUAGAGUGCGGAAGGGGCAACUGGAAUUCUUGGUGUAGCGGUGAAAUGCGUAGAUAUCAGGAAGAACACCCGUGGCGAAGGCGGCUUUCUGGGACGGUACUGACGCUGAGACGCGAAAGCGUGGGGAGCGAACAGG